Homo sapiens (human) is the source of this 2417-nucleotide long non-coding RNA. Ensembl annotates it as long intergenic non-protein coding RNA 2290. NCBI's taxonomy places the organism in Eukaryota, Metazoa, Chordata, Mammalia, Primates, Hominidae. The record is from Ensembl.
AGUCACAUGCUUGCAUCUUAGUCCAAUCACUGUGGCCUGGAGGAUGGGACACCAUGAUUUGCAAGACUCUGGUCACAUGCCCACACCUGUGGCUUCUGAAGCAGAGCACCAGCAGUGACAGUCCCACCAGAACCGCAUGGAAUAGAAAACUGUGCAUUUCCCUAAGGAAAGGGAAUGCCAGAGAAGGGCAGAAGGGAAAUCAGGAAGACAAAACGGUAAAUUACCUACCACAAAUCCAAUUCAUUGGUAUUUUUCCACUUACACUUAACCAAGCAACGAUUUCUCCUGGUCCCAUAAUGGAAAAGAGGGUUUAUCUAGAUUCAUAUAUACAAGACUGAAGAGUGAAGAGAGACCCAGAGAAUGUUCUAAAAUCUGCCAGUUAGCAUAAUCACACAGAGAAAUCUCUGCUUCCAGAGGAGGAGCCAAGUUCAAGUCAGAGGUGAGGAAUGCCAACAGGAAAGCUCACUUUCUCCGGGGAUAUUCAGGCCAACACUAGGAAACCACAGCCAAGUCAGGCAGGGCUUGGGGCGGAACUGCUGACACCUCCACCCUAGCCAAUCCAAGGUGCACGCCUGCCUCAUGCAGCCCAGCGUGACUCCCGCCAUUGGCACACUGUGCCCAUCACAGGCUGGAGCUCCUUUCCUCCACCGUCUUCCCAACUCCUGCCAACCAGAACUUAACUACUCCUUUGGAUUCUGCUUUUCACUUGUUCUUCAUCAGACUAUGGAAGCUUAGACUUCAUAAUUUGGCUGAGACUUCAAAAAUAGUUUUAAAGAAAGCUAUUCCCACCCUGCUAAAUGUCUUCAUGUUGGAGUGGACCUUUCCUCUAUCUGUCAACAGAAUGGAUAAAUUGUGGAAGAGUAAUAUCAGAAUACUACACAUCAGUAAAAAACAACAAACUUCUGCUACAAACAAUCAACAUCGAUGAAUCUUUCAGGCAAAAGGUUAUAGAAACAGAUGAUCAGUGGCCCACGGAUUCCAGGUGAGGAUCUGGGACCCAGACAUCCAGAUAUUGAAAACACAGGGAUGGAGUCUGUAUGGAAAAAAUUAAAAUAUAGCAAAAUGUGAAAUACGGAAGAGAAAUCUUUCAAUUUCCCAAUGGAAGUGAGAAAAGAGCAAAGAAAAGUAUUGGUCUUCCAAAACAAAUAGAGGACGGAGCUGCUGCUGUUGCAUGGUGUCUAGAAACUCAGACAACUUCAUCAUUCCAUAUUUGCAUCCAAGAGAGAGAAAGAAAAACUACAAUCAUUUUCCAUUUACCCAUCAACCCAUCAACCUCCAAAGACAGGGUCUCACUAUGUUGCCCCAGUUGGCCUUGAACUGCUGGACUCAAGGGAUCCUCCUGCCUCAGCAUCCUGAGUAGCUGGGUCUACAGGCAUGAACCACCAGGCCCAGAACCCUGUCUUUUGAAAGCCAUAUGCGAUCUGUCUGCCCUGAAGUGACUACUUCAUCUCCAACCAGCCCUUGGCUGGCAAAGUCAGGAAGACUCCAGUCUUUCCUGAAGACCAGGGGAGAGUUUAUAACUCUAGCAUCAAAGUCAGCAGCUGUUCAUCUAGAAGACAACUUCCCAAAAGUCAAUGUCUUUGCCUGAAGCUUUUCUUCCCAGAUCUCCUAUGGUGAAACAACCAAAGGGAAGAAGAAUGUGGGCAGCCCUCAGUAAGACAGGAGAUGAGCAUCAACAUUGACCCAUUCUUUCUUCCAGUCCUCGAUGCUUACCUUGUACAUUCUUCUUUGUCUUCCGACUCAGUGCCUUUAGGGUAUGGACGUUGCCUGGUCCCACACAAGCCAAGCAUCAAAUGGAUGGCUCAACAAGGAGGCCAAGACCAGCUAAUGUUUAGUGAGCACCCAAAGGGGCCACACUGGAGAGAACAGCACAGCUCCGUCUGAGAAACAGCUGUUCCUUCCUGCCUGAGAGGCAGAGUGAUAGAAGAUAUCACAGAAUGUUGCUGCUUUGUCUUCCACCCUGAACCCUCCACGACCUCCCUGUAGCUUCCUGAUUUUAAGUAGACAUCAAAUGAUUCUUAAUCCUUUCUGGGUCUUGGAACGAUUUGAAAAUUGUCAACAGUACUGGGAUUCCCAGAAUAAUGCACAUAUGUACAUACUCAGAUAUUCCCCAAGCCCUGGAUAUAAUUUUAAGGGAGUUCACAGACCACACUCCCCCACCCAUCUGUGGACCCAGAUUCUGUGGGUUCGAGAUUCAGAAGCCCUGUUUCUAGGCAGGCCCUCUGUUGCUAACGCCCCUCGAGAACAUCACCCUAGAUGAUUAUCCCUUCUUCCUCCACUCCUUCCCACCUUCUCCAACUGCUGGGUUUCAGCACAAAGAUUGCUUGCCAGUUAAACUGGCACCAUGGACCGCACAGUAGUUGUUUCUUGGGUCUAGAGGAAACAGCCAGAUUCCUUUAAGUAAAUCAUGUCUUAGU